GGGGAUUUAGCUCAGUGGCAUAAGUGCCUGCCUGUUAAGCACGAGGUCGUGAGUUCAAUCCCCA
Transfer RNA from Cavia porcellus (domestic guinea pig), 64 nucleotides. It matches the Rfam family "tRNA". From Rfam's summary of the family: Transfer RNA (tRNA) molecules are approximately 80 nucleotides in length. Their secondary structure includes four short double-helical elements and three loops (D, anti-codon, and T loops). Further hydrogen bonds mediate the characteristic L-shaped molecular structure. tRNAs have two regions of fundamental functional importance: the anti-codon, which is responsible for specific mRNA codon recognition, and the 3' end, to which the tRNAs corresponding amino acid is attached (by aminoacyl-tRNA synthetases). tRNAs cope with the degeneracy of the genetic code in two manners: having more than one tRNA (with a specific anti-codon) for a particular amino acid; and 'wobble' base-pairing, i.e. permitting non-standard base-pairing at the 3rd anti-codon position. The record is from Rfam. NCBI's taxonomy places the organism in Eukaryota, Metazoa, Chordata, Mammalia, Rodentia, Caviidae.